This 382-nucleotide unclassified non-coding RNA is filed under the name uncultured bacterium. RNAcentral's name for it is "contains 16S-23S intergenic spacer region". The record is from RNAcentral.
UCCUGGUUUCCCAGGCAGUCUCGUUAGAGUGCCUCCUUACGGAGUAGCAACUAACAACAGGAGUUGCGCUCGUUAAAGGACUUAACCCAACAUCUCACGACACGAGUUGACGGCAGCCAUGCAGCACCUGUGUACCUGUCUAGACUUUCGUCUAAAAACUAUAUUUCUAUAGCGGUCAAGUACAUGUCAAGCCUAGGUAAGGUUCCUCGCGUAGUGUCGAAUUAAACCACAUGUUCCACCGCUUGUGCGGACCCCCGUCAAUUCCUUUGAGUUUUAAUCUUGCGACCGUACUUCCCAGGCGGAUCACUUAACGCGUUAGCUACGACACUAAUUACGCAAGCGCAAUUAACAUCCAGUGAUCAUCGUUUACAGCGUGGACUAC